AUGUCCAUGGCGCUGCGCAACUUGGCCACGAGGAUGCGGUCCCCGGCCGCCGCCGUCCUCCGUCCCCGCGUCUCGCCUUCGGCCGGCACGCGGCCCCUCCGCUCCAGGCUCUUCAGCUCCUUGGAGGAAGAUCAGGAAGAUGUGAAAAGGCUGUACCAAGAGAAUCUAGCUACACUUGAUCGAGUGAAGAAACACCAGGAAUUUAUGAGAUCGCGCAUUGGGUUUCUUGAGAAGAGCAACAAGUAUCUGAGUUGGUCUUUCAAGCUGCUUCUGCCUAUUCCCACCGCGGCUGUCAUCCUGAAAGCAAUCGACGGUUAG
This 318-nucleotide ribosomal RNA is filed under the name Triticum aestivum (bread wheat). RNAcentral's name for it is "partial small subunit ribosomal RNA". Lineage: Eukaryota; Viridiplantae; Streptophyta; Magnoliopsida; Poales; Poaceae. The record is from RNAcentral.